RNAcentral lists this signal recognition particle RNA (256 nucleotides) under Bacillota bacterium. Its description in RNAcentral is "Firmicutes bacterium (anaerobic digester metagenome) partial signal recognition particle sRNA large type". It matches the Rfam family "Bacterial large signal recognition particle RNA". From Rfam's summary of the family: The signal recognition particle (SRP) is a universally conserved ribonucleoprotein involved in the co-translational targeting of proteins to membranes. Archaeal SRP consists of a 7S RNA and homologues of the eukaryotic SRP19 and SRP54 proteins. Lineage: Bacteria; Bacillati; Bacillota. The record is from RNAcentral.
ACGGGGAGUUAGCGGUGCCCUGUAACCCGCAAUCCGCUAUAGCGGGGUUGAAGCCUAUCCGAGGGUGUUCCUUUUUGAGGCCGGCCGGCACGGGCAGCGUUGAAAGCUGGGGCCUGCGCAAUGAGAACCCAUGAACCCCGUCAGGUCCGGGAGGAAGCAGCGGUAAGCGGUCAUUCUUAUGUGCCGCAGGGGUUCCUGGCUGGAGCCAGCCAUGCCCGGUAUCGCUUGGGAAGGGCAUUCGGAGAUAGGUGCACGG